This 73-nucleotide transfer RNA is filed under the name Camelus bactrianus (Bactrian camel). It matches the Rfam family "tRNA". From Rfam's summary of the family: Transfer RNA (tRNA) molecules are approximately 80 nucleotides in length. Their secondary structure includes four short double-helical elements and three loops (D, anti-codon, and T loops). The record is from Rfam by way of RNAcentral. Lineage: Eukaryota; Metazoa; Chordata; Mammalia; Artiodactyla; Camelidae. RNAcentral also lists the same sequence under 3 other names.
GAGGGUAUAGCUGAAGUUGUAAAGCGCAUGCUUAGCAUGCAUGAGGUCCUGGGUUCAAUCCCCAGUACCGCCU